This 463-nucleotide ribosomal RNA is filed under the name uncultured bacterium. Its description in RNAcentral is "partial 16S ribosomal RNA". It matches the Rfam family "Bacterial small subunit ribosomal RNA", at positions 28 to 507 of the family's 1533-position model. The record is from RNAcentral.
GAUGAACGCUGACAGAAUGCUUAACACAUGCAAGUCUUUGGCGAAGCUGUGCUCGCACGGCCUAGCCAAGGCGGACGGGUGAGUAACGCGUAAGGAACUUGCCCUGCAGUCAGGGAUAACAGACGGAAACGACUGAUAAGACCUGGUAAAGUCAGGCGGACUCAUGUCCAGCCUGAUGAAAAGAGAUGCUGCAGGAGAGCCUUGCGUCCUAUUAGCUUGUUGGUGGGGUAACGGCCCACCAAGGCGAUGAUAGGUAGCCGGCCUGAGAGGAUGGACGGCCACAAGGGGACUGAGAUACGGCCCUUACUCCUACGGGAGGCAGCAGUGGGGAAUAUUGGACAAUGGGGGCAACCCUGAUCCAGCAAUUCUGUGUGCACGAUGAAGGUUUUCGGAUUGUAAAGUGCUUUCAGCAGGGAAGAAAAAAAUGACGGUACCUGCAGAAGAAGCGACGGCUAAAUACGUG